Molecule: ribosomal RNA, 254 nt
Filed under: uncultured bacterium
Lineage: Bacteria
Description: partial 16S ribosomal RNA
Rfam family: Bacterial small subunit ribosomal RNA
Source: RNAcentral
UACGGGGGGAGCAAGCGUUGUUCGGAUCUACUGGGCGUAAAGGGCGCGUAGGCGGUCGUGACAAGUCACUUGUGAAAUCUCCGGGCUUAACUCGGAACGGUCAAGUGAUACUGUCGGACUAGAGUACAGAAGGGGCAACUGGAAUUCUCGGUGUAGCGGUGAAAUGCGUAGAUAUCGAGAGGAACACCUGCGGCGAAGGCGGGUUGCUGGGCUGAUACUGACGCUGAGGCGCGAAAGCCAGGGGAGCGAACGGG